Molecule: long non-coding RNA, 2823 nt
Organism: Ictalurus punctatus (channel catfish)
Lineage: Eukaryota; Metazoa; Chordata; Actinopteri; Siluriformes; Ictaluridae
Source: Ensembl
UGUCCGUUAUUGCAGGAAAGAUUUGCUCAGAAAUCAGAGCAGCUCUGAUCCUCUGCCAGCCUUCACAAGUCCAUAUCACUGCACACUCACUCCAUCUCCGUCAGCAUUCGCGUUCAAGCAGUGUCACAUCGGUUUCGCCAGGCUAGUGCGGGUUAAUGAGAAACUGUGUGUGUAUGCAGGCACAUAUUCACAUGUUGGCUUUACAGGCCACAGCAACAAUCUUCAAACAUUGCUGAUUUGUAUCGAUAUGGACAAAAUGCAAACAAAACCUUUUGACUUCUCCAGUAGCAAGAAUGAGACAAAUUCAGUUCAAUUUUCUUUGUCUAGCACUUUUAAUAAUGUCACAAAGUAACUUUAUUGAAAUAUGGAUGGAGAUUUAGAACCCUAACAAGGAAUCCAGAUACGACAGUGACUAUGUUUGAAUGCAUAUCAAUAUUUCGAUAUUAAUCUAAAUUUAGCAAUACUCUAAGUAGUAUUGAGUCAUGUAAACGCCACAGUCCGACUGCCUGAUUGAGAUUAAGACAAUAUUCUGCAACACGAAUAUAGAGCUUAAAUGGAAUUUGGGUAGGGUUAGGGGUUAGGGUUAGGGUUUGGGGUUAGGGUUUGGGUUAGGGUUUGAGGUUAGGGUUAGGGUUUGGGUUAGGGGUUAGGGUUAGGAGUUAGGGUUAGGGGUUAGGGUUAGCGGUUAGGGUUAGGGUUAGGGGUUAGGGUUUGGGUUAGGGGUUAGGGUUAGGAUUAGGGUUAUGGGCUAGUGUUAGGGUUGGGGUUAGGGUUAGCGGUUAGGGUUAGGGUUAGGGGUUAAGGUUUGGGGUUAGGGUUAGGAUUAGGGUUAUGGGCUAGUGUUAGGGUUGGGGUUAGGGUUAGCGGUUAGGGUUAGGGGUUAAGGUUUGGGGUUAGGGGUUAGGGUUAGGAUUAGGGUUAUGGGCUAGUGUUAGGGUUGGGGUUAGGGUUAGGGGUUAAGGUUUGGGGUUAGGGGUUAGGGUUAGGAUUAGGGUUAUGGGCUAGUGUUAGGGUUGGGUUAGGGUUAGCGGUUAGGGUUAGGGGUUAGGGUUUGGGUUAGGGGUUAGGGUUAGGAUUAGGGUUAUGGGCUAGUGUUAGGGUUGGGGUUAGGGUUAGCGGUUAGGGUUAGGGUUAGGGGUUAAGGUUUGGGGUUAGGGGUUAGGGUUAGGAUUAGGGUUAUGGGCUAGUGUUAGGGUUGGGGUUAGGGUUAGGGUUAGGGGUUAGGGUUUGGGUUAGGGGUUAGGGUUAGGAUUAGGGUUAUGGGCUAGUGUUAGGGUUGGGGUUAGGGUUAGCGGUUAGGGUUAGGGUUAGGGGUUAAGGUUUGGGGUUAGGGGUUAGGGUUAGGGUUAUGGGCUAGGGUUAGGGUUAGGGUAGAGUUUAGGGGUUAGGGUUAUGGGUUAGGGUUAGGGGUUAAGGUUUGGGGUUAGGGUUAGGGGUUAGAAUUAUCUCCCUGAGACGACACGAGGAAGAAAAGACGAAUCAAACAUAAAAGCGAACACAUCCUUUUCUGGGUCACAGCGGAUAGUGCUAUUAUAAAUCAUUACUCAUCUCCAGCUGCAUACUCUAAAGUUAAACAGUAUUACGUGUGUUGAAAAGAUUUUCAGUUCGAGCAUCACAGUCUUUAUGAUAACAGCAACAGUUCUUAGGUACAAAUCAGCGUGUACAGGUAAGAUUACACUGAAGCGCUGAGGCGAGGGAGAGAUCAUCAACAGCAGCAGAAUAAGUAAGUAUUCAUUUCUGUAACAGAAAUUCUGCUUAGAAUUCCCAUGACUCUUUGUUUCUUUUUAGUGUUCAUUACACUGACUUUGUUAUAUAUUUAUCUAUAUAUCUAAAACAACUCAUCAUCAUCAUCAUCAUCCUGUCUCAGUUGUAAAUCAUAAAUUCUGUGCCAAACAGGAUAUAAUGUAAUGUAAUGUACAUUCUAAAUCAAUUUUUCUCAAACUUUUUAAAGCUAGGGUAAAAUGAAUUCUGGUACCCCCUCAUUACAGAUUUAUUCCAUGAACAUUAUUUAAAUGUCUACAAUAUACACGGUAUACACCAUCCACUUUAUUACCAUCCACCUGUACACCUACACAUUCAUGCAGUUAUAUAAUCAGCCAUUCUGUGUAAACUCUAGAGACUGUUGUGUGUGAAAAUCACAGGAGAUCAGCAGUAUCUGAAAUACUCAAUCCAGCCCAUCUGGCACCAAAAACCAUGCCACGGAUAAAGUCACACAGAUUAAAAUUUCCCCCCGCAUUUUGAUGUUUGAUGUGAGUAUUAACUGAAGCUCUGGACUUGUAACUGCAUAAUUGCAUGCAUUGUGCUUCUGCGACGUGAUUGGCUGAUCAGAUAAGGUCCAGGUGUACAUGUUUUCCUAAUAAAGUGGACAGUGAGUGCAUAUUUUCUCUAAUUAUUAGAGCCAUAAAGUGUUCUACUCCUGAACGUCCCACUCGAGAAACACAAUACGUCAAAUCUCAUUCUAGUUACAGAUCAGCAUGUUUGAGCGUCUACUGUUUGACGUAAAACACGCAGUCAAACAAGUUAACAGGAAACAUGUUCAUCAGUUAUAAAUGCAACAACUGGUAAUUGUGCGCUUUGUUUUCCGUCACUUUAGCAAAAAAAAUUAAAAACCAUGGGAAAUCCUUUUUCCUUUUCUAAAAAUCCCAAUGUAUUUCCUUUCCCUAUUUAAUUUGCAUCCUUUGAACUACAAGCAAAUGUUGGACUGGUUCCACUAAAAUAUUUAAACAAGACACAUAGAGAACUCACCUGAUCGUCCAGCCCUGCAUGUCACAAGACUGGUUUUACACACACACAACCACACACACACACACAGAUAUAUAUAUA